AGAUUGAUACAGAAUUAGGAUUAGGUAAUAAAUACAUAAUAGCAAUGAGAAAGAGAACAUUGUUUUGAAUACCUUGCCAUUGUAAUCAUAUGCUCAUUAUGUUUGAAUUUCAAAUAAAACUCUGCAAUAAUUUAUUCGGCCCAAUUUUUAUGACUGAGUGAGUUUCAUUCACCAUUUUUAGUCCAUAGCCCGUAUGAAAUCAGC
RNAcentral lists this long non-coding RNA (204 nucleotides) under Capsicum annuum. RNAcentral describes it as "long non-coding RNA (CANN_LNC021572)". The record is from RNAcentral. Lineage: Eukaryota; Viridiplantae; Streptophyta; Magnoliopsida; Solanales; Solanaceae.